GACGAACGCUGGCGGCGUGCUUAACACAUGCAAGUCGAACGAUGAAGCCGGAGCUUGCUCUGGUGAAUUAGUGGCGAACGGGUGAGUAACACGUGAGUAACCUGCCCUUGACUCUGGGAUAACUGCGGGAAACUGUAGCUAAUACCGGAUACGACCCUCGGAGGCAUCUCCUGGGGGUGGAAAGAAUUUCGGUCAAGGAUGGACUCGCGGCCUAUCAGCUAGUUGGUGAGGUAAAGGCUCACCAAGGCGACGACGGGUAGCCGGCCUGAGAGGGUGACCGGCCACACUGGGACUGGGACACGGCCCAGACUCCUACGGGAGGCAGCAGUGGGGAAUAUUGCACAAUGGGCGCGAGCCUGAUGCAUCAACGCCGCGUGAGGGAUGACGGCCUUCGGGUUGUAAACCUCUUUUAGCAGGGAAGAAGCGAAAGUGACGGUACCUGCAGAAAAAGCACCGGCUAACUACGUGCCAGCAGCCGCCGCAG
This 484-nucleotide ribosomal RNA is filed under the name uncultured bacterium. RNAcentral's name for it is "partial 16S ribosomal RNA". It matches the Rfam family "Bacterial small subunit ribosomal RNA", at positions 28 to 523 of the family's 1533-position model. The record is from RNAcentral.